Molecule: ribosomal RNA, 446 nt
Filed under: uncultured bacterium
Lineage: Bacteria
Description: bacterial SSU rRNA
Rfam family: Bacterial small subunit ribosomal RNA
Source: RNAcentral
CCAGACUCCUACGGGAGGCAGCAGUGGGGAAUAUUGCACAAUGGGGGAAACCCUGAUGCAGCAACGCCGCGUGAGUGAAGAAGUAUUUCGGUAUGUAAAGCUCUAUCAGCAGGGAAGAAGAAGGACGGUACCUGACUAAGAAGCCCCGGCUAACUACGUGCCAGCAGCCGCGGUAAUACGUAGGGGGCGAGCGUUAUCCGGAUUUACUGGGUGUAAAGGGAGCGUAGACGGUUAAUCAAGUCUGAAGUGAAAGCCCGCGGCUCAACUGCGGAACGGCUUUGGAAACUGAGUAACUGGAGUGCUGGAGGGGCAGGCGGAAUUCCUGGUGUAGCGGUGAAAUGCGUAGAUAUCAGGAGGAACACCGGUGGCGAAGGCGGCCUGCUGGGCAGUAACUGACGUUGAGGCUCGAAAGCGUGGGGAGCAAACAGGAUUAGAUACCCGCGUAG